GCAUUGGUGGUUCAGUAGUAGCAUUCUCGCCUUUCAUGCAGGAGACCUGGGUUCAAUUCCCAGCCAAGGCA
Transfer RNA from Loxodonta africana (African savanna elephant), 71 nucleotides. It matches the Rfam family "tRNA". Rfam says of the family: Transfer RNA (tRNA) molecules are approximately 80 nucleotides in length. Their secondary structure includes four short double-helical elements and three loops (D, anti-codon, and T loops). Further hydrogen bonds mediate the characteristic L-shaped molecular structure. tRNAs have two regions of fundamental functional importance: the anti-codon, which is responsible for specific mRNA codon recognition, and the 3' end, to which the tRNAs corresponding amino acid is attached (by aminoacyl-tRNA synthetases). tRNAs cope with the degeneracy of the genetic code in two manners: having more than one tRNA (with a specific anti-codon) for a particular amino acid; and 'wobble' base-pairing, i.e. permitting non-standard base-pairing at the 3rd anti-codon position. The record is from Rfam. NCBI's taxonomy places the organism in Eukaryota, Metazoa, Chordata, Mammalia, Proboscidea, Elephantidae.